AUACGGAGGGUGCAAGCGUUACUCGGAAUCACUGGGCGUAAAGCGCGCGCAGGCGGCUUGAUAAGUUGGAUGUGAAAGCCUACGGCUCAACCGUAGAACUGCAUCCAAAACUGUCAGGCUAGAGUGUGGGAGAGGAAGAUGGAAUUAGUUGUGUAGGGGUAAAAUCCGUAGAGAUAACUAGGAAUACCAAAAGCGAAGGCAAUCUUCUGGAACACUACUGACGCUGAGGCGCGAAGGCGUGGGGAACAAACAGGAUUAGAAACCCCAGUAGUCC
RNAcentral lists this ribosomal RNA (274 nucleotides) under uncultured bacterium. RNAcentral describes it as "partial 16S ribosomal RNA". It matches the Rfam family "Bacterial small subunit ribosomal RNA", at positions 523 to 796 of the family's 1533-position model. The record is from RNAcentral.